This 107-nucleotide small nucleolar RNA is filed under the name Sorghum bicolor (sorghum). Its description in RNAcentral is "Plant small nucleolar RNA R71". It matches the Rfam family "Plant small nucleolar RNA R71". From Rfam's summary of the family: R71 is a member of the C/D box family of snoRNAs containing the C (UGAUGA) and D (CUGA) box motifs. Multiple nearly identical copies of this snoRNA have been identified in Arabidopsis, and it is thought to function as a 2'-O-ribose methylation guide for 18S ribosomal RNA. The record is from Rfam by way of RNAcentral. Lineage: Eukaryota; Viridiplantae; Streptophyta; Magnoliopsida; Poales; Poaceae.
AUUGCAUGAUAAGGACAUUCGAAGAUGUAGUCUUGAAAGUGCUCCUAAGCUUCUGGGACAGUCUUAUCAUGUUGCUGCUGAAAGCUUGAUAUCUUCACACGAAGAGU